CCUACGGGUGGCAGCAGUGGGGAAUAUUGCACAAUGGGGGAAACCCUGAUGCAGCGACGCCGCGUGAGUGAAGAAGCGUUUCGGCGCGUAAAGCUCUGUCAGCGGGGAAGAAACACGGUUCGCGAGAGCCGCGGACGGUACCCGACCAAGAAGCCCCGGCUAACUACGUGCCAGCAGCCGCGGUAAUACGUAGGGGGCAAGCGUUAUCCGGUUUCACGGGUGGUAAGGGGGUGUAGACGGCGAGACAAGUCUGGAGUGAAAGGCCGGGGCCCAACCCCGGGACUGCUCUGGAAACUGCCUGGCUGGAGUACAGGAGAGGUAAGUGGAAUUCCUAGUGUAGCGGUGAAAUGCGUAGAUAUUAGGAGGAACACCAGUGGCGAAGGCGGCUUACUGGACUGUAACUGACGUUGAGGCUCGAAAGCGUGGGGAGCAAACAGGAUUAGAUACCCCAGUAGUC
This 457-nucleotide ribosomal RNA is filed under the name uncultured bacterium. RNAcentral describes it as "partial 16S ribosomal RNA". It matches the Rfam family "Bacterial small subunit ribosomal RNA", at positions 338 to 795 of the family's 1533-position model. The record is from RNAcentral.